AUAGGGCGUUUAGUAUUUGGUCGUAGACCCGAAACCAGGUGAUCUACCCUUGGUCAGGUUGAAGUUCAGGUAACACUGAAUGGAGGACCGAACCGACUUACGUUGAAAAGUGAGCGGAUGAACUGAGGGUAGCGGAGAAAUUCCAAUCGAACCUGGAGAUAGCUGGUUCUCUCCGAAAUAGCUUUAGGGCUAGCCUCAAGUGAUGAUUAUUGGAGGUAGAGCACUGUUUGGACGAGGGGCCCCUCUCGGGUUACCGAAUUC
Molecule: ribosomal RNA, 261 nt
Filed under: Staphylococcus aureus
Lineage: Bacteria; Bacillati; Bacillota; Bacilli; Caryophanales; Staphylococcaceae
Description: partial 23S ribosomal RNA
Rfam family: Bacterial large subunit ribosomal RNA
Source: RNAcentral